Molecule: ribosomal RNA, 2833 nt
Filed under: Dysgonomonas hofstadii JCM 17038 = DSM 104969
Lineage: Bacteria; Pseudomonadati; Bacteroidota; Bacteroidia; Bacteroidales; Dysgonomonadaceae
Description: bacterial LSU rRNA
Rfam family: Bacterial large subunit ribosomal RNA
Source: RNAcentral
GGCACAUGGGGGGGAUGCCUUGGCUCUCAGAGGCGAAGAAGGACGUGAUAAGCUGCGAUAAGCUACGGGAAGGCGCAAAUAGCCCUUGAUCCGUGGAUUUCCGAAUGGGGGGGCAACCCAAUAACCGAAGAGGUUAUUACACUACCAUGUAGUGAGCUAACCAGGGGGGGAACUGAAACAUCUAAGUACCCUGAGGAAAAGAAAAUAAAAAUGAUUCCCAAAGUAGUGGCGAGCGAACUGGGAAAAGCCCAAACCAAUCCUGUUUAGGCAGGGUUGGGGGGGUUGUAGGACUGCGUUGUGGCACGACAAGUUUGAAGUGGAAACCUUUGGAAAUAGGUAUCAUAGAGGGUGAUAAUCCCGUACACGAAUCAGACUCGAAGCCUAGCAGUAUCCUGAGUAGCGCGGGACACGAGAAAUCCUGUGUGAAUCUGCCGGGACCAUCCGGUAAGGCUAAAUACUCCUGAGAGACCGAUAGCGAACCAGUACCGUGAGGGAAAGGUGAAAAGAACCUCGAACAGAGGAGUGAAAUAGACCCUGAAACCAUGUGCCUACAAGCGGUCGGAGCAGUGUAAGCUGUGACGGCGUGCCUUUUGCAUAAUGAACCUACGAGUUACUGUCACUGGCAAGGAUAAGGACAUUAUAAAGUUCCGAUCCGAAGCGAAAGCGAGUCUUAACAGGGCGUCCAAAGUCAGUGGUAGUAGACGCGAAACCAAGUGAUCUACCCUUGUGCAGGUUGAAGGUUGGGUAACACCAACUGGAGGACCGAACCGGUAAACGUUGAAAAGUUUUCGGAUGACGUGAGGGUAGGGGUGAAAGGCUAAUCAAACUUGGAGAUAGCUCGUACUCCCCGAAAUGCAUUUAGGUGCAGCCUCGGCUAAUAUUAUUGUGUCAGGUAGAGCGACUGAUUGGAUGCGAGGGCUUCGCCGCCUAUCAAGUCAGAUAAACUCCGAAUGGGCACAAUAGGUUUACCGGGAGUGAGGGCAUGGGUGCUAAGGUCCAUGUCCGAGAGGGAAAGAACCCAGACCAUCAGCUAAGGUCCCCCCCAAAUAUCAGUUCAGUUGAAUUAACGAAGUAUGACUACCAAGACAGCUAGGAUGUUGGCUUGGAAGCAGCCAUUCAUUUAAAGAGUGCGUAACAGCUCACUAGUCGAGUGGUCGUGCGUGGAUAAUAAUCGGGCAUAAACUGGUUACCGAAGCUAUGGGAUAAAUAUUAUCGGUAGGGGGGGAGCAUUCUACUCGGCGUUGAAGGCGUACCGUCAGGUAUUCUGGAGCGUGUAGAAAAGCAAAUGUAGGUAUAAGUAACGAUAAAGGGGGGGUGAGAAACCCCCCUCGCCGAAAGACUAAGGAUUCCUGAUCAACGCUAAUCGGAUCAGGGUAAGUCGGGCCCUAAUGCUAAGCCGAACGGCAAUGCAGAUGGACGAACCGGUUAAUAUUCCGGUACUGCUGUAAUGAGUGAAGUGGGGGGGACGCAGAAGUGACACUACUGCCAUCUGACGGAUUAGAUGGUUAAAGGGAGUAGGCGUUGACCGGGGGGGUAGGCAAAUCCGCCUGGGAGCUGAACCUGAAAGUACUACAAUCCCCCCGGGAGCGUAGAAAAUGUAGGUAAGCCGGCUGCCGAGAAAAACCGCUAAACGCUAAUCAUUACCGCACCCGUACCGUAAACGGACACACGUAGUCGGGUUGAAAAUACUAAGGCGCUCGAGCGAUUCACAGUUAAGGAAUUAGGCAAAAUGACCCUGUAACUUCGGGAUAAAGGGUACCGUCAGCGAUGGCGGUCGCAGAGAAUAGGUCAAGGCAACUGUUUAUCAAAAACACAUGGCUAUGCAAAUAAGAAAUUAGAAGUAUAUAGUCUGACACCUGCCCGGUGCUGGAAGGUUAAGAGGAGAUGUCAUCGCAAGAGAAGCAUUGAAUUGAAGCCCCCCCAGUAAACGGCGGCCGUAACUAUAACGGUCCUAAGGUAGCGAAAUUCCUUGUCGGGUAAGUUCCGACCUGCACGAAUGGUGUAAUGAUCUUGACACUGUCUCAACUGUGAUCUCGGUGAAAUUGUAGUAUCGGUGAAGAUGCCGAUUACCCGCGAUGGGACGAAAAGACCCCCGUGAACCUUUACUAUAGCUUUACAUUGACGUUGGGCACUUGAUGUGUAGGAUAGGCCGGAGGCAAUGAAGCGGGCACGCUAGUGCAAGUGGAGCCAUCCUUGAAAUACGGCCCUUUGAUUGUCUGGCGUCUAACUCUCGGUAUGAGAGGACAGUGUAUGGUGGGUAGUUUGACUGGGGGGGUGGUCGCCUCCAAAAGAGUAACGGAGGCUUCUAAAGGUGUGCUCAGGACGAUUGGUAACCGUUCGCAGAGUGUAAUGGUAUAAGCACGCUUGACUGAGAGACUAACAAGUCGAACAGGUAGGAAACUAGAGCAUAGUGAUCCGGUGGUUUCAGUAUGGAAUGGCCAUCGCUCAAAGGAUAAAAGGUACUCCGGGGGGGAUAACAGGCUGAUCAUUCCCAAGAGCUCAUAUCGACGGAAUGGUUUGGCACCUCGAUGUCGGCUCGUCACAUCCUGGGGCUGGAGCAGGUCCCAAGGGUUGGGCUGUUCGCCCAUUAAAGUGGCACGCGAGCUGGGUUCAGAACGUCGUGAGACAGUUCGGUCUCUAUCUAUCGUGGGCGCGGGAUAUUUGCGGGGAUCUGACACUAGUACGAGAGGACCGUGUUGGACAGACCCCCCCUGGUUCACCAGUUGUUCCGCCAGGAGCAUCGCUGGGUAGCUAAGUCUGGAUCGGAUAAGUGCUGAAAGCAUCUAAGUACGAAGCCGGCCUCAAGAUAAGAUAUCCUCAUAAGGGUGGUUGU